Molecule: ribosomal RNA, 310 nt
Filed under: Cyclophora tenuis
Lineage: Eukaryota; Bacillariophyta; Fragilariophyceae; Cyclophorales; Cyclophoraceae
Description: partial Bacterial large subunit ribosomal RNA
Rfam family: Bacterial large subunit ribosomal RNA
Source: RNAcentral
CUCCAAAAGCGUAACGGAGGCUUCUAAAGGUGCCCUCAGGACGAUUGGUAACCGUCCGCAGAGUGUAAUGGCAUAAGGGCGCUUGACUGGGAGACAUACAAGUCGAGCAGGUAGGAAACUAGAGCAUAGUGAUCCGGUGUUUCCGUAUGGAAGGGACAUCGCUCAAAGGAUAAAAGGUACUCCGGGGAUAACAGGCUGAUCCCUCCCAAGAGCUCAUAUCGACGGAGUGGUUUGGCACCUCGAUGUCGGCUCGUCACAUCCUGGGGCUGGAGAAGGUCCCAAGGGUUGGGCUGUUCGCCCAUUAAAGUGG